UAGAGCCCCUUUCUUCAAUUAGUCCCUGGCCAGAUGUCCACUGGGAACUUUUGUGCUGUCCUUCAGCCUGGCUCUGGGGUCACUGCAGCCUCCAAGGCCAACACAGUACACAAAAGAAGCCAGAUCAUAACUGUGGAAGUGUGAGGAGGCCCUCCUCCAUGGCCGGCAUCCCUGCUCGCUCUUCUCAGAAGAGGGCCGGGGUACGAUGGCAUCCAAGUCAUCAAUCUCUGUAACAGAAAAAGGAGGAAUUAGAAAGGGAGCGGCGCUUCCAGUGCAAAGCUCAUAGACGGGAGACGGGAGACGCUCUCCACAGAAGCCGCCUUCACACACAGGGGCAGCAGUAGCUGCGUGCUCUUGUGCACAGGGUUCUCUCCCAGGUUGGCUGCAGACUACCACUGCCUCCCACAGGGGAUUCACAGGGAAUCUGCAGCGCCCCCGUUGACUGGCAUGUAUCUUACCAGACACAGGCUUAGUAACACAUCCAGUUGGCUGUGUUUAUGAUACCUUUGUCUCUCUUUAAAUCUCUGUACAGCUACAUGGGCAAGCCAACAUGGGUCCCAGCAUGGGUCUCAUUAUACACUGAAAACAUGCAUCUCUUUUGCAGGUCUCCACAGACAGUGCUCCUUCCUGGCUCUUUUAGUCUCAUAGUAGAGUGUUCUCAGCCUUCUUUGGGGAGAUUUGUCCAGUGAGAGGUGUGUGACACCUCAGAACAAGCCUCAGGGACACAGCCUAUCCUGUAUGGACUUCCGGACAUAGCAGUUCAGGUUCUUUCGGAGAUUGAUUUUUCUCCUAAGGUAUCAGACUUCACUCUCUAAAGCUCUUGUUCUCAGAGGAAGCAAGUACUUUCCCUUAGCCAGACAGCAUCCCUUGGAAGGUUCCAAGCAGCGGGCUCUACAUUUUUCUAGCUUAUUUUGCUUGGUCAUGUUUUAAUAAACAAUGAUAGAACCCAG
RNAcentral lists this long non-coding RNA (950 nucleotides) under Mus caroli (Ryukyu mouse). RNAcentral describes it as "lncRNA (MGP_CAROLIEiJ_G0004231.1)". The record is from RNAcentral. Lineage: Eukaryota; Metazoa; Chordata; Mammalia; Rodentia; Muridae.